UACGGGGGGGGCAAGCGUUGUUCGGAAUUACUGGGCGUAAAGGGCUCGUAGGCGGCCAACUAAGUCAGACGUGAAAUCCCUCGGCUUAACCGGGGAACUGCGUCUGAUACUGGAUGGCUAGAGAUUGGGAGAGGGAUGCGGAAUUCCAGGUGUAGCGGUGAAAUGCGUAGAUAUCAGGAGGAACACCUGUGGUGUAGACAGCUUACUGGACCACUUCUGACGCUGAGACACGAAAGCGUGGGUAGCAAACAGG
RNAcentral lists this ribosomal RNA (253 nucleotides) under uncultured bacterium. Its description in RNAcentral is "partial 16S ribosomal RNA". It matches the Rfam family "Bacterial small subunit ribosomal RNA", at positions 524 to 776 of the family's 1533-position model. The record is from RNAcentral.